This is a long non-coding RNA of Sander lucioperca (pikeperch), 81 nucleotides long. RefSeq lists it as uncharacterized. The record is from RefSeq and is a predicted model, not a curated record. NCBI's taxonomy places the organism in Eukaryota, Metazoa, Chordata, Actinopteri, Perciformes, Percidae. The transcript is spliced from 3 exons.
GUUUUAUUUAUAUCAUUUCUGUCAGGUCCAUUAAGUCAAGAACAACGCAGACAAUAAAAAUGCUUUAAAGAAAUUUGAUUG